UUCGGUGGGGGAAGGAUGAGCAGCCGACACUAAUAGCUGCAUCUCCGCCUUGUCCUCCAGCGUGCGCCGGUCAGCAGACACCUCCAGCUCACCGAUCACCGAGUUUUGUGACCUGUUUCGGGUCAGAAAAAAAGUUCUCCGCUUCUCUAACGUGUUUCUGAAGUUGCUGAGUUGAGAGAAAUUUUAUCGGAGGAGGAUAAAAGCUGCAGCUCGGGACGCAUGGACACGCACAGAAAACCUGGGGAUAAAUGGAGGGACUGGAGUGACCAGCGUGGAACCAACUACAGACCUUUGACCUCUGAAAUCUGACCACAGUGAGUGUGGAGGCAGCUGACCAUGGAGCAGGAUCUAAGGACGGGUCUGUCAGUGUGGGCCAUUAUAGCCAUUGUUUGCAACUCUGUGGUGGGCGCCCUCAUCCUCAUUCUCUUCAUUAUCCUCUACAAGGCCUGUAAGGUGCCUUCACACCCGGACAAAGUGCCAGUUUUCACAGCAGAGGUGCAGCAGAGGAAAGAACAGAAGUACCUGCUGACUGCAGCCUAGUCAUGACAACAAAAUACAAAUGUGUGUAUCUGCAGAACGUCAGCAGACCAGCUGGUCUUGAGUCCUCUUCAAACCGAACACUCCUGUCAUCAUUUUUGGCUCAGUGUCUUCUCCAGACCGUUCACAUAUCUCCACCAUCAGCACCAUCAGUCUCAUCUACUGCAUGAAAGUUAGUGGGGCUCAGCUGAGGGUGAGAUAACUGCGUUAAGAGUUGUGGCACCAACAACAAGAGGCGAGUCCAAUCCUCUUAUCUCUGCUGUGCGUCACAGGGACUGUCCAUCUGUCAGUCUCUUUCCUCUGCUCUACACAGGCAGACCAUGAUCUCCUCCUCUUCUCUUUUCUCUUUCAUCCUGUCAGCUGAGAAGUGGGGGAAAAUAACACAGCAAAAUAAGAGAAAGCACUGAGAGAGCACAAACCUCCGCCAAAGGUUCCCCAAAGUGUCAACACACUCCGAAGCAUCAUUCAUUUCUGAAACCAUAUGUAGCUUUAGCUUUUUUAUUUUAUAAUUCACUUUUCUUAAGAUUAUGAAGAUAUCAGGAGAGUAGUGCAGAAAAAUAAACGUUUUUAGAGCAGUACUGACAUUUGCAGUUAUAACGAAACAUGUUGGAAACAGAUUUUUUGUAGUAGAAUUUUGAUCUGUAUCCAGAUUACCAUCAAAAUCAAAUUAUUUAAUUAUUUAGAGAAUUGAAUCCAAAUCUGAUGUUCAUUAUUUGUGUUAACAUCACUGUUUGAGCAACAGACAGACAAACACCCUAAACAAGUGAAAAGUUUAGGGUUGACAGGAGAUACUAAUGUACAGAUCAUGUAGCACACGAGCAGUGUUUGUCAGCAGCAGGGAGAAGUCAGGAAGGAGAGAGAUGCAGCUGGAGGAACUAUGUGUGAGUGAUAAAGGGCAGGGAUGAUAAAGUGCAGAGGAAGAGUGGCUUUGAUGUGUUGUUUACAGAGAAGGGAGCUCGCGGCUUGUAUUUGACAGUCUUCCCAUUUGACACACGUCUCUGCCUCUGCCGAUCUGACUCCCAAAGGAUUAAAAGUUACCGUAUAAUUGUUAUUCGUGUCCCGGUGUGCCUCUCUUUCAUCCUGUGAACUCCUCUAAAGACUGAACAAGCACUUUUAUUGACAGCCUUUGCCAGAAAUGACAGACUGACUCAACACUCACUGUCUAACAAGUGAGUGUUUUUUUGUACAGCAGCAAGUAACUGUGACAAAUCAUGAUUGUAGAGCCGAUAAUAACUUCAUCUUCAAUUGUUAUUCACCAUCAUUCAUAGAAAAAAAGGAGUUGCAUAAUCUUUUGUCUGGUUUACAGGAUUUCAUUGAAAGGGCUUUAAAAGUAUUUCUUAUUUUGUGAUGGAAAAAUAAAAGAUGAAAUCUGAUCUCAGGUAUUUGUUUAUAACAUUGUUUUUAGCAAAGGAAACUUUGUGAUGUGAAAUGUCUGGGGAAAAAAAAUAAAAGAAUAACGGAGAGUUGAUUGAUGGAUUGAUUCAGAUAAAAUAAAUAAAUAGAAUCUGUUGAUGACAAGUAUUGCAAGUUCUAUCUAUCUAUCUAUCUAUCUAUCUAUCUAUCUAUUUUGCUAACUUGCUAGGUAGCUUUCCUAGUAAAUUUCAUAUUACUUCUUGUUGCAUUACUGACUUCUUCCUGUCUUUUGCUCCGUCUCCGCUUCCUCCUAGAAAAACUCACCUCGACCUGAACCCUUACAGUGAUUUGGCUGAAUGAUUGAUCUUUACGGAUGAUGAUUUGCUACUAACAGAAAUGUAAGAGCCAUGGAUUUAUCCCAGAUCUUACAUGGUGAGAAAAACAAAUGUGAAGAACAGUGUGAUGCCAUUUGUUUAAAGAUAAAGCAGCAUAUCUUGUGAGUCUGUGUGACAGUAACUGUACAAACACAUGUGUGAAUGUGAACAAAACAGUUGUUUAUAUCACAUACAAGGCAGAUGGUACAAGCCUUUGGUCUGAUGUCGAGAUGAAACCGCUCAGCUGUCUCGUGUUUAUCUGCUUUGCCUCUAUUUAUGUGUCUGCCAGUUUUCUCGCUCUUCAUCUCUUUGGCUUUCUUCCUCUAUUUUUUUUUUUAUCCUUUUUCUUUUGUUUCCCUGAUUCCCUCGAGCUAUACCGGUGCCAAAACCCAUGCGAUGCACAGAAGCAGUCAUCGACCGUGCAGUGUGCAGUUUGGAUGUGGAUGUGAGGGCUGGCCGGAGAAACCCCUUUACAUGGUUUCCCUCCAACUCACCUGCUGCAGAUUACUCUGAUUGCCACCACUCACUCGCUCCUGUUUAAAAGGCUGGACCAGGGGCCUCAUUUAUAAAGCUUGUGCAUGCACAGAAGAAUGCGCACACCACUUUCUACACAACGUUUGGCAUAUUCCAUUUUUUUUUGCAUAAGCAAAUCCUGUGUUUCCUAUGACGUACGCCAAGUAUCCGCUGUAUCUACGCGCAGUUUUAUAAAUAAGGCCCCAGCUCACCAGUAUUCGCCAAAUUGUUUUCUCUUCCUACUGGUAACAAGCCUUCAUGCUUGCCUUCUCAACCUUUGAUCCCAGCCACUUAUUUUACUUUUUUUUCCAGAACACCUGCACUUUUUGUCCCUUCCCACUCCAGCCAGCCUUCCUCCGUUGAUUUUGAUGUUUGCCCAGCCUUGCUGUUGGUUUUUCUCUCGUUUUGUUCUCCUUUAUUUCAUUUUGUUUUAAUUUUACUUUCAAUUAAGUUUUGUGCAUUUGGGUUUCUGCACCCAUUGUUAUUACAAUGGGUGUUAUUACAUGCUAUUACACGGUGAUUACUAUAGAAAAUAACAUGGUUUCACCAAAGUAUUUCCUCCCUACAUAAUUGUAAUGUGGUGUUACGGACAUAGUCUUCAAGCUGCAGAAUUAGCUCAUUCUGUGAAAGCAGAUUUGACCAUGAAAUUUAUUGACCAAUUUGGAAGGUAGCAGCUGAUGUGCCAUGUUUGUCGUCUAUUUUCCUCUACAUGACAUAUAAAAUUGAUAUCAUGUUCUAUUGAACAAUAGCUGAAACUAGAGAGUGAGACCAUUAACUCCUCAUGAAAUUGUUAUAAAUCAAGUCAACCAUUAGAGUCUCUCCCUGGUGCAUUACUACUACCUGGACUUCACAGUUUGUAGAAAAAGUAGAGGGCAAGUUGAUUAACAUUAGUAUUUUGCUGGUGAUUUGGUGAUCGAAUUGUUAACCUUAUGAUAUAUAUAUAACCUUAUGAUAUAUGUAUAUAUUUAUAUAAAUAAAAGUGCAUUGAUACUGUUGGAAAAAGAAGGGCUGCACUAUCCGUGUCCUUUCUGUAGUUUCUAUAAUUGAUCCAAAGAGAGAGAGAGAGAGAGAGAAACAAGCAAUAGCAAUCAUCUGUGCAGUCACACAUCUGUUCUCCUGCCCAUCAGUCUUUUUUUAUUGAUCCCCCUCAUCUCGGGAAUGAGUGUUAUGGCUCAGAUGCUGUUUACUUUGACUUCAUCGGUUGGAGAUUAGCCGUGGACAGUGCACUUCAAACCCGCCAUCUCAGCUAAUGCAUUACACAGCUGCAAAACAAUUUCCCCCGGUCGUUCACCGCUAACUGAGAUGGAACAGGGUCGCUGACCUCAAUAUGCUGUUAUGUAAUCAUUAGUACAAACAUUACACACAUAAAGAUUAAUAAUGGACAUAUGACGAGCCAGUAAUCUGUGGGCUCCAUCUGUACCACUCCAUGUAGGUUGCGUAACCUACUGUACAUCAGCCCAGACUGAGUGAUUUGGGGCGAUGUUGGUAUCUGAGUCGGCGUGUCUGACUUACUGAGGCAAUGGUUCUCAAACUUUUUAUACCAAGUACCAGCUGAGGAAAUAUUGAGCUCCAUUAUCACCAACAUACAGUGGUCUAAAUGGGCCGAGCAAAGUCAGCUACA
Long non-coding RNA from Solea senegalensis (Senegalese sole), 4398 nucleotides. RefSeq lists it as uncharacterized. NCBI's taxonomy places the organism in Eukaryota, Metazoa, Chordata, Actinopteri, Pleuronectiformes, Soleidae. The record is from RefSeq and is a predicted model, not a curated record. The transcript is spliced from 3 exons.